Molecule: ribosomal RNA, 655 nt
Filed under: fungal endophyte
Lineage: Eukaryota; Fungi
Description: eukaryotic LSU rRNA
Rfam family: 5.8S ribosomal RNA (bases 191-344)
Source: RNAcentral
CGGAGGGAUCAUUAAAGAGUUCUAUAACUCCCAAACCCAUGUGAACAUACCUAACGUUGCCUCGGCAGGUCGCACCUACCUUGUAGCACCCUACCCUGUAGGGCCUACCCGGGAGGUGCGGGUAAGCCUGCCGGCGGCCCACCAAACUCUGUUUGAUAUUGAAUUCUGAACCUAUAACUAAAUAAGUUAAAACUUUCAACAACGGAUCUCUUGGUUCUGGCAUCGAUGAAGAACGCAGCGAAAUGCGAUAAGUAAUGUGAAUUGCAGAAUUCAGUGAAUCAUCGAAUCUUUGAACGCAUAUUGCGCCCAUUAGUAUUCUAGUGGGCAGGACCGUUCGAGCGUCAUUUCAACCCUUAAGCCUUCGUUGCUUAGUGUUGGGAGCCUACGGCAACGUAGCUCCUCAAAGUUAGUGGCGGAGUUGGUUCACACUCUAGACGUAGUAAUUUUUUAUCUCGCCUAUUAGUUGGACUAAUCCCCUGCCGUAAAACCCCUAAUUUAUCAAGGUUGACCUCGAAUCGGUUCAGACAAACUCGCUAAAUUGAAGCAUCUUAGUCAGCGAAGGAAAAGAAACCAACAGGGAUUGCCCUAGUAACGGCGAGUGAAGCGGCAACAGCUCAAAUUUGAAAUCUGGCCCUCGGGUCCGAGUUGUAAUUUG